GGCGGCCGCGGGGGUGGGGCGCGGCGUCAGCGCGUCGCCGGCUGGGCCGCGCCGGUGACCAGGAGGGAGAGACGGAGAGGAGGAGGCGGAGGGGUAGGAGGAGGAGGAGGUGGUGACACAGAUGAUAAAAAUCCGUUCGAGAAUUUAUAUGUGACAUCUGCAGCAGGUUCAUAUCUCUCAGCUAUAAGACAAACUGGAUACUUCGUAAAGAUUUUCAUCUGUUAUGCACAGAGAGCCAAAAUCCGUUACUGAAAUUGUCUGGGUGAGCUGCCUGCUGGGUCCAGUGAUGCACUAGUAGACAAAGAAGUUGAAAAAGAAGGCUGACUGGAUGACUGGCAGAAUGUGACACCAAUAUGGCAUCAAGAAGCCCUGCUAUGAGUCCAAGGACUUUGACUAUGACUAAAUAAAAAUGACUUCUUUUUUGGUGGGGUGGGGGUGAGGCUGGUUGAAGUGAAUUUGAUAUUUUCUUGGGGAAUGUGUAAUGUAUUCUCAUUCCAUAGUGAUACAUGGUAAUUGCCUUGGUAAUCAGUCUUUAAAGUUCAUAUAUAUAUAUAUCGAAGUUAUGUAGUUAUACUUUUUAUUAUUGGGUUCUCUUACCACAAAGUAAAUACUGUAAAGACAAACAUUUGCUUAACUUAAAAAUGUUAACUUAAAAAGAUUGAUUUAAGGACUAUGAUUUUCACAUAGAAAUUUUCACUUAGGGCAUUUUAUUUAUAAAAAGUUACUGUACCCCGAACUUUCUAGGAAAACAUCCUUUUCUGUAGUUUCUUGAAAGUCAGUAGGAAAUCAUACUGUACAGUAUUAAUAUAGAACAGUUAAUAAAUUAAUAACCAUUAAAAAUAACUAAUAACUUCAGAUCUAUUAACUAAAUUUACUUAAAAUAAUUUAAGGAGUGGGUGUGAACUGGAAAUAAACCUAUGUAUUUACUAGAAUUAUUGAAUCACAAGAAAACUAGAACAUCAAAGUAUUCUCUAAACCAAAUCAGUAUUUUAUUUGGUUAGAGUCCCUGCUUUUGGCAUCCAUCUAUUUAGAUUACUUAUAGAGGCUUUUAAAGCAGUUCUGGGAAAUGAGGUGGGUAGAUUUUCUCAAAGUUGAUUCCCAUUUAUUUUCUCAGUGAAUCUUGAACAUUUUUUUCUUCUUAGUAUUCAAGAAAAACUCUGUCAGUCUAGGAUAUAAAACAUAGGUUACAUUAUAUAUAGUUCAUACAGUUUAUUUACAAACAGAAAAAGAUUCCCUCUUGACUUACCUUGAAAUCUUUAUUCAAGGCCUGUACCAUUCAAUUUGUCAGCUUGCUGCUGCCACUACAGCUCGCUUUUGGUCAGAGUGCAGUGAAGCUAACAGCCAUUCUGCUGGGAAAAGAGUUCCCGGUUGCUGAAGAGUGGAAGUCACACACAUCUCAUUUACAAGUCAGAUCAGAGAUCAGAAUCAUACAAUAGCUUUAUGUGGAAUUGAUUUCAUUUCAUGGUUUUUAAGCUGUGUUUUUCAUUGAAGCAAUG
Long non-coding RNA from Myotis myotis, 1496 nucleotides. RefSeq lists it as uncharacterized. The transcript has 2 exons. The record is from RefSeq and is a predicted model, not a curated record. Lineage: Eukaryota; Metazoa; Chordata; Mammalia; Chiroptera; Vespertilionidae.